UACGUAGGGGGCUAGCGUUGUCCGGAUUUAUUGGGCGUAAAGAGCGUGUAGGCGGCCAGGUAGGUCUGGUGUGAAAACUCGAAGGCUUAACCUCGAGAUGUCAUCGGAAACCAUCUGGCUAGAGUCCGGAAGAGGAGAGUGGGAAUUCCUGGUGUAGCGGUGAAAUGCGCAGAUAUCGGGAGGAACACCAGUGGCGAAGGCGGCACUCUGGGCCGGUACUGACGCUGAGGUGCGAAAGCGUGGGGAGCAAACAGGG
This 256-nucleotide ribosomal RNA is filed under the name uncultured bacterium. RNAcentral describes it as "partial 16S ribosomal RNA". It matches the Rfam family "Bacterial small subunit ribosomal RNA", at positions 524 to 777 of the family's 1533-position model. The record is from RNAcentral.